RNAcentral lists this ribosomal RNA (155 nucleotides) under Clostridioides difficile. RNAcentral describes it as "partial 16S ribosomal RNA". It matches the Rfam family "Bacterial small subunit ribosomal RNA", at positions 1 to 162 of the family's 1533-position model. Lineage: Bacteria; Bacillati; Bacillota; Clostridia; Peptostreptococcales; Peptostreptococcaceae. The record is from RNAcentral.
UUUUAUUUGAGAGUUUAAUCCUGGCUCAGGAUGAACGCUGGCGGCGUGCCUAACACAUGCAAGUUGAGCGAUUUACUUCGGUAAAGAGCGGCGGGCGGGUGAGUAACGCGUGGGUAACCUACCCUGUACACACGGAUAACAUACCGAAAGGUAUG